GACGAACGCUGGCGGCAUGCCUAAUACAUGCAAGUCGAGCGAACAGAUGAAGUGCUUGCACUUUUGACGUUAGCGGCGAACGGGUGAGUAACACGUAAGGAAUCUACCUAUAAGCGGGGGAUAACAUUCGGAAACGGGUGCUAAUACCGCAUAAUAUCUUCUUCCGCAUGGAAGAAGAUUGAAAGACGGCUCUGCUGUCACUUAUAGAUGACCUUGCGGUGCAUUAGUUAGUUGGUGGGGUAACGGCCUACCAAGACGAUGAUGCAUAGCCGACCUGAGAGGGUGAUCGGCCACAUUGGGACUGAGACACGGCUCAAACUCCUACGGGAGUCAGCAGUAGGGAAUCUUCCGCAAUGGGCGAAAGCCUGACGGAGCAAUGCCGCGUGAGUGAAGAAGGCCUUCGGGUCGUAAAACUCUGUUAUAAGAGAAGAACAAAUUGUAGAGUAACUGCUACAGUCUUGACGGUAUCUUAUCAGAAAGCCACGGCUAACUACGUGCCAGCCGCCGCCGUAA
This 513-nucleotide ribosomal RNA is filed under the name uncultured bacterium. RNAcentral describes it as "partial 16S ribosomal RNA". It matches the Rfam family "Bacterial small subunit ribosomal RNA", at positions 28 to 523 of the family's 1533-position model. The record is from RNAcentral.